AGGGUGCAAGCGUUAAUCGGAAUUACUGGGCGUAAAGCGCGCGUAGGUGGUUCAGUAAGAUGGAAGUGAAAUCCCCGGGCUUAACCUGGGAACUGCUUUCAUAACUGCUGGGCUAGAGUACGGUAGAGGGUAGUGGAAUUUCCUGUGUAGCGGUGAAAUGCGUAGAUAUAGGAAGGAACACCAGUGGCGAAGGCGACUACCUGGACUGAUACUGACACUGAGGUGCGAAAGCGUGGGGAGCAA
This 243-nucleotide ribosomal RNA is filed under the name uncultured bacterium. RNAcentral describes it as "partial 16S ribosomal RNA". It matches the Rfam family "Bacterial small subunit ribosomal RNA", at positions 529 to 771 of the family's 1533-position model. The record is from RNAcentral.